RNAcentral lists this ribosomal RNA (516 nucleotides) under uncultured bacterium. RNAcentral describes it as "bacterial SSU rRNA". It matches the Rfam family "Bacterial small subunit ribosomal RNA", at positions 30 to 507 of the family's 1533-position model. The record is from RNAcentral.
CGAACGCUGGCGGCGUGCCUAAUACAUGCAAGUCGAACGCACUCUCGUUUAGAUUGAAGGAGCUUGCUCCUGAUUGAUAACAUUUGAGUGAGUGGCGGACGGGUGAGUAACACGUGGGUAACCUGCCCUAAAGUGGGGGAUAACAUUUGGAAACAGAUGCUAAUACCGCAUAAAACCUAACACCGCAUGGUGUAGGGUUGAAAGAUGGUUUCGGCUAUCACUUUAGGAUGGACCCGCGGUGCAUUAGUUAGUUGGUGAGGUAAAGGCUCACCAAGACCGUGAUGCAUAGCCGACCUGAGAGGGUAAUCGGCCACACUGGGACUGGGACACGGCCCAGACUCCUACGGGAGGCAGCAGUAGGGAAUCUUCCACAAUGGACGAAAGUCUGAUGGAGCAACGCCGCGUGAGUGAAGAAGGUUUUCGGAUCGUAAACUCUGUUGUUGGAGAAGAAUGUAUCUGAUAGUAACUGAUCAGGUAGUGACGGUAUCCAACCAGAAAGCCACGGCUAACUACGUG